GGUGGGGUGGCCGAGCGGUUGAUGGCACCGGUCUUGAAAACCGGUUUGGGCGCAAGUCCAACGUGGGUUCGAAUCCCACCCCCACCG
Molecule: transfer RNA, 87 nt
Filed under: Phycisphaerae bacterium
Lineage: Bacteria; Pseudomonadati; Planctomycetota; Phycisphaerae
Description: tRNA-Ser
Rfam family: tRNA
About the family: Transfer RNA (tRNA) molecules are approximately 80 nucleotides in length.
Source: RNAcentral